Molecule: ribosomal RNA, 483 nt
Filed under: uncultured bacterium
Lineage: Bacteria
Description: bacterial SSU rRNA
Rfam family: Bacterial small subunit ribosomal RNA
Source: RNAcentral
CAGGACGAACGCUGGCGGCGUGCUUAAUACAUGCAAGUCAACUUGACUUUAGAUAGCAAUAUCGAAAAGUAGGGUGGCGCACGGGUGCGUAACGCGUAGGUAAUCUGCCCUGAGGUCUGACAUAACCCGUCGAAAGGCGGGCUAACAUCAGAUGAUAUAUAAUCACGACAUCGUGGAAAUAUCAAAUCUUCGGAGCCUUGGGAUGAGCCUGCGUCUGAUUAGGUAGUUGGCGGAGUAAUAGCCCACCAAGCCUACGAUCAGUAGCUGGUCUGAGAGGAUGAUCAGCCACACUGGAACUGAGACACGGUCCAGACUCCUACGGGAGGCAGCAGUAAGGAAUAUUGCUCAAUGGGGGGAAACCCUGAAGCAGCAACGCCGCGUGAAGGAUGAAAUACUUUGUAUGUAAACUUCUGUAAGAUGGGAAAAAUAUUCUCCUCGGGAGAAUUGAUUGUACCAUCAGAGUAAGCCCCGGCUAACUACGUG